Molecule: ribosomal RNA, 216 nt
Filed under: Triticum aestivum (bread wheat)
Lineage: Eukaryota; Viridiplantae; Streptophyta; Magnoliopsida; Poales; Poaceae
Description: partial small subunit ribosomal RNA
Source: RNAcentral
GCCGCGACGCCGACCCUGCCUUCCGCGGCGAACUCCCUCGCGCCGCCCGACGCGACGUCGCACGCCAGGUAAGCGAACUCCUCCGGGGACGCCGGCGCCGCCUCCUUGGUCAGCAACAGCGCCGGCUCGCCUCCGGCGCCGACGUCUACGUCGAGCGCCCGCGCGUCGCCCCCGACGACGACGCCGACGACCAGGUCCCCGGGCAUGGGGUCGUAG